AUGAGUCAGUUGAUGGUUAUUCAAAGUAUUGUUUAUUGAGGACAUGUCACCUAUAGUUUGAAAGACAUAAAAUGGAUCACCUGGACAAAACACUUCCUCAAGCUGUUUCCAUCCACAGUGCAGCUGCUCAUACCAACCCUGUGAUGCCACACCAACUAAAAUUCAAAUAAAAGUUAUUUUUAAGAUGG
This is a non-coding RNA of Callorhinus ursinus (northern fur seal), 188 nucleotides long. The record is from RefSeq and is a predicted model, not a curated record. Lineage: Eukaryota; Metazoa; Chordata; Mammalia; Carnivora; Otariidae.